CCCAGACUCCUACGGGAGGCAGCAGUGGGGGAUAUUGCACAAUGGGGGGAACCCUGAUGCAGCGACGCCGCGUGAGGGAAGACGGUUUUCGGAUUGUAAACCUCUGUCUUUAGGGACGAAACAAAUGACGGUACCUAAAGAGGAAGCCACGGCUAACUACGUGCCAGCAGCCGCGGUAAUACGUAGGUGGCAAGCGUUAUCCGGAUUUACUGGGUGUAAAGGGCGAGUAGGCGGGAUUGCAAGUCAGAUGUGAAAACUAUGGGCUCAACUGAUAGAGUGCAUUUGAAACUGUAGUUCUUGAGUGAUGGAGAGGCAGGCGGAAUUCCCGGUGUAGCGGUGGAAUGCGUAGAUAUCGGGAGGAACACCAGUGGCGAAGGCGGCCUGCUGGACAUUAACUGACGCUGAGGCGCGAAAGCGUGGGGAGCAAACAGGAUUAGAUACCCGUGUACAC
RNAcentral lists this ribosomal RNA (451 nucleotides) under uncultured bacterium. Its description in RNAcentral is "bacterial SSU rRNA". It matches the Rfam family "Bacterial small subunit ribosomal RNA", at positions 330 to 795 of the family's 1533-position model. The record is from RNAcentral.